Homarus americanus (American lobster) is the source of this 480-nucleotide long non-coding RNA. RefSeq lists it as uncharacterized. The record is from RefSeq and is a predicted model, not a curated record. The transcript is spliced from 2 exons. NCBI's taxonomy places the organism in Eukaryota, Metazoa, Arthropoda, Malacostraca, Decapoda, Nephropidae.
CUAGGAAAACUAUUCAGAUUGUGAGGUCCGCCAGUCGCUUGAGUCUGACUGGCUAGUGUAGCUUGACCGCUCCUCUCUCACUCAGUCUUGCUCUAGUACUCGUGGAGGGUGCAUGUGGGUGGACGAAUUUGGAUGUUAUUCUAAUACAAGUGAACGGUUGAUUGAACUAUACGUGAUAAGUAGAUAUUGUGGAUUUGUCAACCAGACGGAAACAACAACAACAACAACAACAACAACAACAAAACACGAACCGGAUGUAAAGAAGAACAAGAAUCAGUGUUGUGUUGUGAAGAAAUACAAUAAUAAACUCCUAGUCAAGAAAUUACAAAUACAUGAUAGGUUGAUGAUGUAGAGAGAGAGAGAGAGAGAGUGAAAGUGAGAAAGUGAGAAGAAAAAAGUGAGAAAGAGAAAAAGUGUUGUAUAUUAAGAGAAGAAAAGAUAGAUAAUGCAGAGGUGAUAAAGUGCGUGGGAGGAGUGAGA